AAUCAACGCUGGCGGCGUGCCUCAGACAUGCAAGUCGAACGAUUAAGACUCUCUUCGGAGAGUGCAUAAAGUGGCGCACGGGUGAGUAACACGUAAGUAAUCUACCCUCGAGUGGGGAAUAACGUCCGGAAACGGACGCUAAUACCGCAUAAUGCAGCGGCACCGCAAGGUGACAGUUGUUAAAGAUUUAUCGCUUGAGGAGGAGCUUGCGGCAGAUUAGCAGUUGGUAAGGUAAUGGCUUACCAAGGCUACGAUCUGUAACCGGUCUAAGAGGACGGUCGGUCACACUGACACUGAAUAACGGGUCAGACUCCUACGGGAGGCAGCAGUCGGGAAUUUUGGGCAAUGGGCGAAAGCCUGACCCAGC
Molecule: ribosomal RNA, 367 nt
Filed under: uncultured bacterium
Lineage: Bacteria
Description: bacterial SSU rRNA
Rfam family: Bacterial small subunit ribosomal RNA
Source: RNAcentral